This 447-nucleotide ribosomal RNA is filed under the name uncultured bacterium. RNAcentral describes it as "SSU rRNA". It matches the Rfam family "Bacterial small subunit ribosomal RNA", at positions 26 to 518 of the family's 1533-position model. The record is from RNAcentral.
AGAACGAACGCUGGCGGCAGGCUUAACACAUGCAAGUCGAACGGCUGUAGCAAUACAGCAGUGGCAGACGGGUGAGUAACACGUGGGAACGUGCCCAAAGGUACGGAACAACUCCGGGAAACUGGAGCUAAUACCGUAUGUGCCCGAAAGGGGAAAGAUUUAUCGCCUUUGGAUCGGCCCGCGUCUGAUUAGCUAGUUGGUAGGGUAAUGGCCUACCAAGGCGACGAUCAGUAGCUGGUCUGAGAGGAUGGCCAGCCACACUGGGACUGAGACACGGCCCAGACUCCUACGGGAGGCAGCAGUGGGGAAUAUUGGACAAUGGGCGCAAGCCUGAUCCAGCCAUGCCGCGUGAGUGAUGAAGGCCUUAGGGUUGUAAAGCUCUUUCGCCAGGGACGAUAAUGACGGUACCUGGAUAAGAAGCCCGGCUAACUUCGUGCCAGCAGCCGC